CAGCAGCCGCGGGAAUACGUAGGUGGCAAGCGUUGUCCGGAAUUAUUGAGCGUAAAGGGCUCGCAGGCGGUUUCUUAAGUCUGAUGUGAAAGCCCCCGGCUCAACCGGGGAGGGUCAUUGGAAACUGGGAAACUUGAGUGCAGAAGAGGAGAGUGGAAUUCCACGUGUAGCGGUGAAAUGCGUAGAGAUGUGGAGGAACACCAGUGGCGAAGGCGACUCUCUGGUCUGUAACUGACGCUGAGGAGCGAAAGCGUGGGGAGCGAACAGGAUUAGAUACCCCUGUAGUCCCUGUCUCUUAUAC
RNAcentral lists this ribosomal RNA (301 nucleotides) under uncultured bacterium. RNAcentral's name for it is "partial 16S ribosomal RNA". It matches the Rfam family "Bacterial small subunit ribosomal RNA", at positions 509 to 807 of the family's 1533-position model. The record is from RNAcentral.